RNAcentral lists this ribosomal RNA (253 nucleotides) under uncultured bacterium. RNAcentral's name for it is "partial 16S ribosomal RNA". It matches the Rfam family "Bacterial small subunit ribosomal RNA", at positions 524 to 776 of the family's 1533-position model. The record is from RNAcentral.
UACGAAGGGGGCUAGCGUUGCUCGGAAUCACUGGGCGUAAAGGGUGCGUAGGCGGGGCUUUAAGUCAGGGGUGAAAUCCUGGAGCUCAACUCCAGAACUGCCUUUGAUACUGAAGAUCUUGAGUUCGGGAGAGGUGAGUGGAACUGCGAGUGUAGAGGUGAAAUUCGUAGAUAUUUGGAAGAACACCAGUGGCGAAGGCGGCUCACUGGACCGGUAUUGACGCUGAGGUGCGAAAGCGUGGGGAGCAAACAGG